This 3004-nucleotide long non-coding RNA is filed under the name Triticum aestivum (bread wheat). Its description in RNAcentral is "long non-coding RNA (TAES_LNC018394)". Lineage: Eukaryota; Viridiplantae; Streptophyta; Magnoliopsida; Poales; Poaceae. The record is from RNAcentral.
UUUUUUCGCUCUGCUAUAAAAUAUUAGAGCUCUUUUACGGUGAUUGGGGAGUUACGAAUUGUAAUUUCAUGUAACUCCCCCCUCGAUUAUUUUCCACCGUUGAUUUUAACCUGUUAAUUAAAAAAUUGAGUUUAGUCAAUAAGGGUAUUAUGGUCAUGUGUUUUUUUUUUCAGUACUCCGCUGGUCAAACCCCCGCAUCUGGCUAACCCAUCUCGCGAGAGGGAGGAGCCGGCGCGAGGACCUGGGAGACGGCGGCGCAGGAGUGAGGACCUUGGCCAUGACGUCGGCGCGAGGACCUGCAGGCGAAGACGCCGACGCGAGAUCCAGGAGGCGAAGCCCCGGCUGGUCUUGGUCGUAGUGGCCGCUCCCCCACAUACGUCCCCACCGACGCCGCGUGAGGUUCUGGAGGGGACGCCGCCGCCGCGAGGUAUUGGAGAUCCCGGCUGCACUUGGUCGUAGAACAGAGGUAUCUCUUCCCCUGCCCUCAUCUCUUCCUCCCAUCCUUCCCUCCUCACGCCUUGUGCUGGCGGUGGAGUCAUGGAGCAACUGCACAUUGCAGCACCUUGAAAUAAAAUUCAGUUAGCAGUUAGAGUUCAGAUUGGUAGUGGAUACGCCAGCAGUGCGUUCGCUAGAUUGCGCAACUUCCGCAGCCACUAAUCGCAUGAUUAGCGGCUGGCCCGCGUCCUCGAUGCUUGCAAUGAUGAUGCUGCGCUGACUGUUAGCACGCUGCUGCUGCCACGUUUUUUACAUGCACGAAUCAUCAACACAAAACUCUGAAGGAAAAAGGGAUAUGAUAUGAAUUUUUUUUCAGCAAAGAAUCAUUUGGUUUGUCACACAAACAUACAAGUAGAAAUUGCAGCCUUAAAGUUUCCAGAAUCAACAGUUAACUAUGUAAGCUUAUGGUCAUACUCCUGUAUCAUACACGUACACAAGUUCAGGCCAUACAUGUAUAAAUUCUGUUAACUGUCAAGCCUUUAUUCAGUAAUGAAAUUUUGAAUUUUGGAUUACUUGUAACAGCAUGUUCGAACAACUGAAAUCUUGCUGCAGCAUACACAUACAAGUUCAGGUCAUACAUGUAAACUAUGGCUUGGAACAACUUAACUAGUGCUAAUAACAGUUUCAUAGUUCAGUUGCAUGUGUUUGUUUUGAAGUUUAGAAGAGACACAGGUUCAGAGUUCACAAAUUUCUUACAACAUGUAGCAUUCCCCAGUGGCAUUUGCUGCUUAUAAACUACAGAGAAUACUGGUAAUAAAUCCCACUAAGCAUAGGUAGUGGAGAGGAUCAAAAUUCAGACAUAUGAUAAACUACAGAGAUUCUGCAAUUUCUGAAGAGUAGUUAAAUAUUACUCCCUCCGUCCCAUAAUGUAAGGUGUUUUUUGACACUAGUGUAGUGUCAGUGUGGUGUCAAAAAAGGUCUUACAUUAUGGGACGGAGGGAGUAGUUGCUAUGAUAAUGUUUUCAUAACUAUGAAGAGUGUGUUGUAUGCUGCUUAGAGAUUGUAUAGCUGGAGUGGCCUAACAAUUCUAGAAGACACUAUGCACUGGUUUUCUGUGUAAUAAAUUCAUAAUCUGUAGUAUCAGUCUUAGUGCAAAAAUGGAGACUACAUUUCCAUGGUACUCACAUGCUAUUACUAUUCUUGCAUUAAGAUGUACUACAUAAAACCAAGGCUAAUUUUUUGACUUCCAAGUCCUUACUUUGCCAUGACAAAUCUGCUUGGCCACAGUUCAUGUUAUUUGCCAAAGCAAGUGAAACUCUUACUAUUUUCUAUUAAACUGAAGUGUUCUCAUCGAAAUCUUCUCCAAUGCAUGCAGGACUUUCGUGUAGGAGAAAGCGAGAUGUUCAUAGUCCACGGUUGUCGUCUGAGUUUGUGUAUUCCCUACGGCAGCAAAAAUAACGUCAAUUAUUAAGGCAGCCACCGGUUCAAACAGUGAGCAUCAGGUACUCUGUUUUCAGCACUCUAUAGUUUAAACUCGCUGUGUUUAGUCUAGCAGAUCCUUUUUUUGUGGAAGCAAGUCUACCAGAUUUAGUAUUGACCUUUUCUUCUAUCUUUGUAUACAUGACCGUAGUCAUCAAGGAAAUUUUACACAAUUGUACAACCGACAGAGCAAAGGAUGCCAUAAUACUGAUUUUAUCAUUUCCACCAUGAUUUUCUCUCUUAAUCAACCAUGCUUUCCUGCACAUCACAUAAAAUUAAGUGUACUUAGGAUUGAUUUAGUGCAGUUGCAAUAGUUCUGCACGAGGGAUAUCAUGCGGUAGCCAGCUCUAUUUUUCUUUAUUUUCUAUGCAAUUGAUGAUUCAAUUUAGUUCGUCGUUAGGGCACUAUAAUCAAUGUUUAGUAAUAAAUUUUAGUGAUUGUCCCAUGUAAAGUUGAUUUUCUGGCUGCAGGUUUAUUGUCUGUGUUGGGUGUUCAUUGUAGCAGUAGUGUGAGUACUGGACAGCCUUCUGCCACCAUCGUUUACCUCCGACUCGCCAGCCAGCCGCCAUCGUCUACCUCCUGUCUACCUCGUGCCUCGCCGGACAGCGCAGUCGGCAAACUCUGUCUCACCGGGCAGGCACCGCUGUCUACCUCUGCUUUGUAGUUAAUUGUGUGCUAGCAAUUCCUCCGGAAAACUUGUUAGGUUAUUCUAACUCUGCCAUGUAUCCGUGAUCUUGUUUUCUGAAUAUGUACUUUUUUAGUGAUUUUCAUUUUCAUUUUAUUUAUCAUAGCACUCCCAUGAUUUAUUUCAUUUUCUAGUGUAUACUUUUAAAUUUUUAAAUUUUAUUUUCCCUAAUGGCCAUGGCGUGAGAGAAGACUACUAGCGGGCUUGGGGAUGUUCACUGCUUUGGGCGUUGCACUGAAGAAGUUUUGCCAAAAAGAAAUAAAACUAGAAGCAAAAUUCAAAUUCAGGAGCAUUUUCGGUAAAAAAAUUGUUAAAAAAUAAGUUUCCAUAAAAACUCUCAAAAAUUCACGAUACCCUAUAUUCAAUCUGGGAAAGUUUCUAGAAGUUUUGAUGAAUAGAAAAAAA